Molecule: non-coding RNA, 112 nt
Organism: Diplogelasinospora grovesii
Lineage: Eukaryota; Fungi; Ascomycota; Sordariomycetes; Sordariales; Diplogelasinosporaceae
Source: the annotation of a GenBank genome assembly
GGGCGCAUGGUCUAGUGGUAUGAUUUCUGUUUUGCAAACACCCGAAGUAUUUGAACUUCGGGAUGAAAAAUGCUCAUACAGACGGUCCCGCGUUCGAUCCGCGGUGCGUCCA